UAGAAGUCUGUGGAAGGUGUGGGAUGGGAUGACAGCAUCAGAAAGAAUUGGGCAAAUCUGUCCCAGGACUAGGUCAGAAAAACGCCUCCCUAGGGAAGGUGCCACCCCAAACACGUGUUUCUGAGACCCCUUACCCGAAAUAAGGAGGCUGCCAAGCGAUACUUGAGGUUGGACCAGAUGAUGUUUUCUUGAGAGAAGCAGAAAACGCCAAGUCGGCCUCCACGCAUUGUGGUGUCUAUGGUGACGCCAGAGUCAGCCACCAACUCAGAGCCUUCAUAAAAUCGUACCCUGCGGACAACACGGCCGGAGGGGCCUCCAUGAAAUCCAACCCGGGGUUCCCCAUCCUGCGGUCACAAAAGUCCUGGCAUGUCCUUGGGGACUAUCCUAGGUCAGAAUUGCUCAGGGAAAUGAAGGCUCUGGGAUGCAGAACGGAGAAUGCUUUGCUUCUAGAGCAAGAUUAACUAAGUACCACAUGGGAAAACACAAUAUCUGAAAAAAGAUGAGAGGUCCAGAAGAAAGGGAGAUGAAUGACUUCAAACCACCAAUACCUUGAGCUGAAUGCCAGGUUCUGCAACUGCUCGGAAUGGGGUGGCUUGCCAAUAUGUCUGCUCCGUCUGCUUCCACAUGACCACGUAGAAGCUGGAGCUAUCUUGGUAGCCAAAGAUAAAGCCUGCAUAGUCAUCAUCUGUCUGGGUAUUCACAUGGAAGGUCCCUUCGAAGUCAACUCCAUUAAAAGCUGUGUACCCUGUAGGGACCAGAUAAGAUUAGAACAAUAGACAAACCACACUAGUAGCUGGAAGAAUUCUAUGUGAGUGGCAACUGAGGCCCUGGACAUACCCACUGCCAGGCCAGGAUCGGAAAAAUACUUGUAUUGAGCAUCAUGAAGUUCGUGUUACUAACCUCACAGGCAAUCGACAGCCUGGGAGAUAGUCCCUAGGGCUUCAGAUCUUGUGUGGUGUUCAUCCCACCAUCUUCAGGCCCACAGUGUGUCAUUUUUCCACCUCUGCUUUGUUAGGUGCUGGAGAGAUCAGGCGCAUGGUGAGUCACUUCUGCCUGGGCCAGUGUCACACAGAGACUACCCUUUUCUGCAGUUAUCCAGAGGUAGCUUCAAAGGACGGAUUCUGGGAGACUUAAAAAUGAACAGCUCUCAGAGUUUUGUGUUUGAUGAUGUCACAUUGGUAGCUUGAAAUCAGCAAUGAGGACAAUGCGGAGUUACAUCAUGGAAACUGGAAAAUGCUACCAACUAGGGCUUUCUGUGAUUUGCUUACCAGCAUAUACCACUGGAAAUGGGUCAUCAGUUAGGCUUGCAGAAGCCUCCCCUCCCCAGACCAGCUCCGUGGCUGGAGAAUGCACAGGAAGCGUGACCAUUCAUGGAGCUGUCCCUGAUUGGAGUGGAGGUAGACAUACAGCAUGGCGCCGUCUGGCCCUGCCAGUCACCUGCCAAAGACGGAAGGUUUCUCCCGGAGGGACUAUGACAGUCCCCACCUCUACACGAUGGCCCACCCCCAACAGGAGCGUCAAGGCAGACAGACUCUGGAAGUUGUAAGGAUGAGGACAGUUAGAGAUGACAGCAGGUACUCAUUGCUGGCAGGAAUCAGGCAUCAGAUCCAUGCCUUCUUCUUUGCUUACAUGUAAGAUCAUGUGAAUGUUGAUGAAAACACCAUCAGACUGGAGGCUGCGUCCGGCCACUCAGACAAAGAAGGAAUAGAAGUGAAGGAAGAAGGCUGGACUGUGAACCAAUGACACUGAGUUGCCCGCGCCACCGUGGAGGGCAUAGGGGACAGGUCAAAAGUUCCAGUGAAGUCCUGGGAGGUGGUGUGAGAAGUUUACUCUGGGGACAGGGAGAUGAUCUGCUUAAAAAGCAAGUUAAUUUUUCUUAUUGCUGUUCCUUUGGCUCUUUUACAAUGGAAUGACAAAGGAAUGGGUGCACAGAGAAAUGCUGGUGGCCUGCAUUGAGAAUUUCUGAUGAGGUAGGCUGAGAAACUGACAAAUGAGCUGUCAGCUCCGCUGCAAUGACACUUCAGGGGCCAGGUUUUUUUAGCUUUUAUAUAUAUAAUAUAUAUUAUCACACUGCACACUAUAUAUGUAAUAAAUAUUAUACAAUAUGUUUAAAAAAUGAAAAUUAAAAUUUUCAUCUUUAUUGAGGUAUAAUUGACAAAACUGAAUAUAUUUAAAGUGUGCAGUGUGAUGAUGUGAUAUACGUAUACAUUGUGAAAUGAUUACCACAGUCAGUUAAGUAACACAUCCAUCAACUGACAUAGUUACCUUCCUUUUUUUCUUUUUCAGUGAGAACACUUAAGAUCUGCUCUCUUAGCAGAUUUCAUAUAUAUAAUAUAGUAUUAUUAACUACAGUCACCAUGCUGUACAUUAGAUCUUUUUCAUCUUAUGCAGUUUUAUUGGCAUAACAUUUACAGGUCGUAAAAGACAUCCAUUUGAAGUAUAUAUAUUGUUUAAUGAUUUAAGUCACUCACAACCUCUUAGUUGCCAAAUCCAAUGCAUGCUUUCCAAUGACUUGUCUCGAUCUUUCAGCCUCCCUGGCUGUGCUAUCAGUUCGCUCCUUUUUCUGGCUUCUGCUCUUUUUCCUUGGCCUAGUCCUUCGUUUUUGGGGUUUCCUGGAGUUCUAUUUACUGUCUACUUUCCUUCUCUCUAGGUGGCUCAGUUAUUACCUUUACACCAAGAUCUCGCAAAUCUAUUUGCAGACUACUUUGUCCUGGUAAAAGCUGAGAAGCAAUAAAUCCCCAUCUAUUCCUAAGCAAUAUAGCAUUGCGGAGAAGAACUCAGGCUCUGUAGCCAACCUGGAAGAUGUGUGACCUUAGUCUAAAUACGUAACAUUUCUUUUUUUUCUUUUUGGAGACAGGGUCUCCCUCUGUCACCCAGGUUAGAGUGCAGUGGCGAUCACAGCUCACUGUAGCCUCAAACUACUCUUGUACCCAAAUGAUCCUUCGGCCUCAGCCUCCUGAGGAGCUGGGACUAUAGGCAUGCUCCACCAUGCCUGGACUUAAUGAUGUAAUAUUUCUGUCCCUCAGUUUCUUCAAUUGUAAAAUGGGGAUAAUAAUAAUCCCUGUUUAUGAGGUUGUUGUGAGGAUUAAAAUAAGUGACUUGAUAAGGUACCUUUUCUGUAGAGUGUAAAUGCCAAGAUGGUGCCGCCAGAGAUGAACUAGCCAAGAAUACCUAUUUAUGUUGCAGUAUCGCCAAAGAUAAUAAUCACUAUUGUGGAACAUGAAGGAUAUAUUUUAAGGCUUUCUCCACAUUAGACUUUCUAGGUUCAUUUUCCCACCCUUCUGAAAUCUGACUCGAUUUUCCAGUUGACCACAGUCUGAAGAGAGCCAGUUGGCGUGAGGUUCUGUGACCUACACAGAUGGUGGGAGGAGUCAGACGGGAAAUCUCUUAUGUCGACGUGGUCACCACCACUUGCUUCUUGAGGGAGAAGAAUCGGAAAGACCUGGCAAGACAGACUAGCUAGAAGGGCUUUCUGAUUCCAGAACAAUACUAAGUUUCCUGAAGUAAAGUAUUAAAUAAAUAUAAAUAAAUGGUAAGACGUAUAUAAAUGUGGUAUGAAGAGGAAGAAAAUAAUGGAAUGGAGGGAAAUAGACACAAAUAGAAAUUCUAAGGUAUUUCUAAUCUGGGAUAGAAC
RNAcentral lists this long non-coding RNA (3634 nucleotides) under Homo sapiens (human). RNAcentral describes it as "long non-coding RNA NONHSAT204363.1". Lineage: Eukaryota; Metazoa; Chordata; Mammalia; Primates; Hominidae. The record is from RNAcentral.